GACGAACGCUGGCGGCGUGCUUAACACAUGCAAGUCGAACGGAGAGGCCCUGCUUUUGUGGGGUGCUCGAGUGGCGAACGGGUGAGUAACACGUGAGUAACCUGCCCUUGACUUUGGGAUAACUUCAGGAAACUGGGGCUAAUACCGGAUAGGAGCUCCUGCUGCAUGGUGGGGGUUGGAAAGUUUCGGCGGUUGGGGAUGGACUCGCGGCUUAUCAGCUUGUUGGUGGGGUAGUGGCUUACCAAGGCUUUGACGGGUAGCCGGCCUGAGAGGGUGACCGGCCACAUUGGGACUGAGAUACGGCCCAGACUCCGACGGGAGGCAGCAGUGGGGAAUAUUGCACAAUGGGCGGAAGCCUGAUGCAGCAACUCCGCGUGCGGGAUGACGGCCUUCGGGUUGUAAACCGCUUUCGCCUGUGACGAAGCGUGAGUGACGGUAAUGGGUAAAGAAGCACCGGCUAACUACGUG
This 468-nucleotide ribosomal RNA is filed under the name uncultured bacterium. RNAcentral describes it as "partial 16S ribosomal RNA". It matches the Rfam family "Bacterial small subunit ribosomal RNA", at positions 28 to 507 of the family's 1533-position model. The record is from RNAcentral.